UACGUAGGGUGCGAGCGUUGUCCGGAAUUAUUGGGCGUAAAGAGCUCGUAGGCGGUUCGUCGCGUCGAAUGUGAAAACCCGGGGCUCAACUCCGGGCCUGCAUUCGAUACGGGCGGACUAGAGUUCGGUAGGGGAGACUGGAAUUCCUGGUGUAGCGGUGAAAUGCGCAGAUAUCAGGAGGAACACCGGUGGCGAAGGCGGGUCUCUGGGCCGAUACUGACGCUGAGGAGCGAAAGCGUGGGAAGCGAACAGG
This 253-nucleotide ribosomal RNA is filed under the name uncultured bacterium. Its description in RNAcentral is "partial 16S ribosomal RNA". It matches the Rfam family "Bacterial small subunit ribosomal RNA", at positions 524 to 776 of the family's 1533-position model. The record is from RNAcentral.